Molecule: ribosomal RNA, 1589 nt
Filed under: Campylobacter jejuni
Lineage: Bacteria; Pseudomonadati; Campylobacterota; Epsilonproteobacteria; Campylobacterales; Campylobacteraceae
Description: partial 23S ribosomal RNA
Rfam family: Bacterial large subunit ribosomal RNA
Source: RNAcentral
AAAAAAGGUAAGCUACUAAGAGCGAAUGGUGGAUGCCUUGACUGGUAAAGGCGAUGAAGGACGUACUAGACUGCGAUAAGCUACGGGGAGCUGUCAAGAAGCUUUGAUCCGUAGAUUUCCGAAUGGGGCAACCCAAUGUAUAGAGAUAUACAUUACCUAUAUAGGAGCGAACGAGGGGAAUUGAAACAUCUUAGUACCCUCAGGAAAAGAAAUCAAUAGAGAUUGCGUCAGUAGCGGCGAGCGAAAGCGCAAGAGGGCAAACCCAGUGCUUGCACUGGGGGUUGUAGGACUGCAAUGUGCAAGAGCUGAGUUUAGCAGAACAUUCUGGAAAGUAUAGCCAUAGAGGGUGAUAGUCCCGUAUGCGAAAAACAAAGCUUAGCUAGCAGUAUCCUGAGUAGGGCGGGACACGAGGAAUCCUGUCUGAAUCCGGGUCGACCACGAUCCAACCCUAAAUACUAAUACCAGAUCGAUAGUGCACAAGUACCGUGAGGGAAAGGUGAAAAGAACUGAGGUGAUCAGAGUGAAAUAGAACCUGAAACCAUUUGCUUACAAUCAUUCAGAGCACUAUGUAGCAAUACAGUGUGAUGGACUGCCUUUUGCAUAAUGAGCCUGCGAGUUGUGGUGUCUGGCAAGGUUAAGCAAACGCGAAGCCGUAGCGAAAGCGAGUCUGAAUAGGGCGCUUAGUCAGAUGCUGCAGACCCGAAACGAAGUGAUCUAUCCAUGAGCAAGUUGAAGCUAGUGUAAGAACUAGUGGAGGACUGAACCCAUAGGCGUUGAAAAGCCCCGGGAUGACUUGUGGAUAGGGGUGAAAGGCCAAUCAAACUUCGUGAUAGCUGGUUCUCUCCGAAAUAUAUUUAGGUAUAGCGUUGUGUCGUAAUAUAAGGGGGUAGAGCACUGAAUGGGCUAGGGCAUACACCAAUGUACCAAACCCUAUCAAACUCCGAAUACCUUAUAUGUAAUCACAGCAGUCAGGCGGCGAGUGAUAAAAUCCGUCGUCAAGAGGGAAACAACCCAGACUACCAGCUAAGGUCCCUAAAUCUUACUUAAGUGGAAAACGAUGUGAAGUUACUUAAACAACCAGGAGGUUGGCUUAGAAGCAGCCAUCCUUUAAAGAAAGCGUAAUAGCUCACUGGUCUAGUGAUUUUGCGCGGAAAAUAUAACGGGGCUAAAGUAAGUACCGAAGCUGUAGACUUGCGCACAACUUAGAUUAUUUAAGUUUAGAAUAUGAGAAACUAAGUUAUGUUUAGUUAUAUUUUUACUGAUUUUUAUAGAGUAAAGAUAGAAAUAAAACUUAGUAAAAUCAGUAAAAAUAUUCUUAGGCUAAAGUUAAGUAGUUUAAGUUGUGUGCAAGUGGUAGGAGAGCGUUCUAUUUGCGUCGAAGGUAUACCGGUAAGGAGUGCUGGAGCGAAUAGAAGUGAGCAUGCAGGCAUGAGUAGCGAUAAUUAAUGUGAGAAUCAUUAACGCCGUAAACCCAAGGUUUCCUACGCGAUGCUCGUCAUCGUAGGGUUAGUCGGGUCCUAAGUCGAGUCCGAAAGGGGUAGACGAUGGCAAAUUGGUUAAUAUUCCAAUACCAACAUUAGUGUGCGAUG